This 522-nucleotide ribosomal RNA is filed under the name delta proteobacterium FM1B-B9. RNAcentral's name for it is "bacterial SSU rRNA". It matches the Rfam family "Bacterial small subunit ribosomal RNA", at positions 83 to 583 of the family's 1533-position model. Lineage: Bacteria; Deltaproteobacteria. The record is from RNAcentral.
AUCCUGAGUAGAGUGGCGCACGGGUGAGUAACACGUAGAUAAUCUACCUUCAAGCCUGGGAUAACUAUUCGAAAGGAUGGCUAAUACCGGAUGAAGUGCAUUGACAUAAGUUGAUGUAUGAAAGAUUGCCUCUUCUUGAAAGCAAUUGUUUGGAGAUGAGUCUGCGGACCAUUAGUUUGUUGGUGGGGUAAAGGCCUACCAAGACUACGAUGGUUAGCUGGUCUGAGAGGAUGAUCAGCCACACUGGAACUGGAACACGGUCCAGACUCCUACGGGAGGCAGCAGUGAGGAAUUUUGCGCAAUGGGGGAAACCCUGACGCAGCAACGCCGCGUGAGUGAAGAAGGCCCUUGGGUCGUAAAGCUCUGUCGACAGGGAAGAAAUUGAUUCAUAUUAAUAGUAUGUUUCAUUGACGGUACCUGUAGAGGAAGCACCGGCUAACUCCGUGCCAGCAGCCGCGGUAAUACGGGGGGUGCAAGCGUUAUUCGGAAUUAUUGGGCGUAAAGGGCGCGUAGGCGGUCUUG